ACCUGGCUGGCUCAGUUGGUAGAGCGUGUGACUGUUGCUCUUGGGAUUGUGAGUUUCAGCCUCAUGUUGGGCA
Molecule: transfer RNA, 73 nt
Filed under: Mustela putorius furo (domestic ferret)
Lineage: Eukaryota; Metazoa; Chordata; Mammalia; Carnivora; Mustelidae
Rfam family: tRNA
About the family: Transfer RNA (tRNA) molecules are approximately 80 nucleotides in length. Their secondary structure includes four short double-helical elements and three loops (D, anti-codon, and T loops).
Source: Rfam by way of RNAcentral